Molecule: ribosomal RNA, 253 nt
Filed under: uncultured bacterium
Lineage: Bacteria
Description: partial 16S ribosomal RNA
Rfam family: Bacterial small subunit ribosomal RNA
Source: RNAcentral
UACGGAGGGUGCGAGCGUUGUCCGGAAUCACUGGGCGUAAAGGGCGCGUAGGCGGCCUGAUAAGUAGGGGGUGAAAUCCUGCGGCUUAACCGCAGGGCUGCCUUCUAAACUGUCAGGCUCGAGCACAGUAGAGGCAGGUGGAAUUCCCGGUGUAGCGGUGGAAUGCGUAGAGAUCGGGAAGAACAUCAGUGGCGAAGGCGGCCUGCUGGGCUGUUGCUGACACUGAGGCGCGACAGCGUGGGGAGCAAACAGG